This 322-nucleotide ribosomal RNA is filed under the name uncultured eukaryote. RNAcentral's name for it is "partial 18S ribosomal RNA". It matches the Rfam family "Eukaryotic small subunit ribosomal RNA", at positions 1470 to 1796 of the family's 1831-position model. The record is from RNAcentral.
CCCUUAGAUGUUCUGGGCCGCACGCGUGCUACACUGAGUGGAUCAGCGGGUCAGGUUGCGCGAAAGCGUUUCCUAAUCUUUAAAUCCGCUCGUGAUGGGGAUUGACGGUUGCAAUUUUCUGUCAUGAACGAGGAAUACCUUGUAAGCGCGGGUCAUCAUCCCGCGCUGAAUACGUCCCUGCCCUUUGUACACAACGCCCGUCGCUCCUACCGAUUGAGUGGUCCGGUGAGGCUUUGGGAUCUGAGCGGAAAGAGCGUUUCGCUGUUUCUGCUCGGAAAACUCAGUCGAACCUUAUCAUUUAGAGGAAGGAGAAGUCGUAACA